Molecule: long non-coding RNA, 2296 nt
Filed under: Anas platyrhynchos platyrhynchos (common mallard)
Lineage: Eukaryota; Metazoa; Chordata; Aves; Anseriformes; Anatidae
Description: lncRNA (ENSAPLG00000026816.1)
Source: RNAcentral
GCUUUUUUUUUAGGCUCCUUCUCACUGCUGAACUUGCAGCAGUCCCUUCUUUCUAUUUUUCAUGAUUUCUCCACUGUUCUCUUGCUGAGAUGUUUGUACUGUUUCUUGCUUUUAGAAACCAGUGCUAAAAAAAAAUAUUUAAAAAACAUUAAAAAAAUCUUGAAAUAUAUAACCACAAGAACUUGGCAAUAUAUCAUUUUUCCUUUAAAAUUAGUAUCAUCUUUUCAUAUACAAGUUUUCUCAGAUUUCUUUUGCUUGAGGAAGGACUCUGGAGCUUUGUUUUUGCUGGGCAUAAUAGAAGAUAAAAGAAGAGAGAAACAGUGGGCCACUGCUGUGAUUCGGGAACCUAGUCCUUCCCUUGGUCUAUCAAGUGAGUCAGUGAUGGAUGGAUGAAGGAGCUUACUCUCGUGACCAGAUGGAGCCAGGUUGGUGCUGAGGUGUGUUAUCUUGAAUGGUCUCCUCUGUGAAGAGCCAGGGAACAUAACUGGAGGGGAGCACUCAGAAAAGAGAAGCUGCAUUGGAGAAGUGGCCUGGCCAAAACACCAAGGACUUGUUCAUAGCCUAAAAAAGGGAGAGGAGGAAUCUGGUUUUGGAGGUGUCACUCUUUGUGGAAAACAGACUUAGAUAACUGGAGCUUUCAAGCUGUUCCCCCCCUGAAAGGAGGAAUUGUUAUUUGAGCAACACCUAGAGUCGUCAGUCUCCUGUGGGUGAAAAACGAUAAACAGACUCUCAAGGGAUGCAUCUUGGUGGAGCUAGAAAGUUGUUGUGGCUGAAUGCAGAACGGGGCUCUGUGGGGCCGUUUGGUGGAGCUGCCACAGGCGGAGGAAGCUGUUUGAGGUUUCCUCAGAGUAGCAUUGCAGCGGUUUGCAUGAUGAGCACCAGCGACCAUACUGCCAGGCAGGAGGAAGCUGGGGAGAGAUGGUUAAUGUGCUGCUAGGGCCAACGAGCCAGGGGCUUGUACCCUGUGUGUCCCACUCCACUGCUGGCUCAUGCCCUACUGCUUCCCAGCUCAUCAUCUUGCAGCAUUGGCCAUGGCCCUCAGCUGAUCUCCAAGAGCAAGGACGUUGUCUUGGUGUCAUCUGAAGACACUCUGGAGCUGGAAACACACCAGGAGAGGUUUCUGUUAAUAGUGCAACUCUAAAUCCAUCUUGGGAAAUCCUUUUUAAUGCAGCUGUAGAGGCAGGGAAGAGUUAAUUGCGUUCCUCUGCUCUGCUCUGUGUACAUUAUAGGCCGUAAGAGAAAGGGUUUGAAGCCUUUUAGCUGGGAUUUCAAAGCCAGAGAGUAGAGCAGCACGUUUAUAGCUGGUUAAUAUAUCUCAGCUCUUAUCAGCAUUUAGCAACCCCCUACCCUGUCUUUACUGCUUUGUUGUUGUUGUUUAUUUAUUUUUUCAAUGCAAGCUUAUCUAACAGUAUGUUUUUCAUUAAAAACAAACAAACAAACACAACAGAGCUUGCAUCCUAACACCUUUUAGCAGGAAAGGAAUGUUGUCAAGCAACAGAAAGAGGAAGGAGCCAGAAACAAUUUUUGGAAGAGCAACACUGGAACCUCCUCUUCAGCUUCUAAGUCAUAGAUUUGGUGUUGCUGUCACUUACAGGGAGAAACAGGGGUGGGUAAGAGAGAACUGAAAAUUUACUGACUUCAGACAUGAAGAUCUCCGUAAGACAAACGCUUGUCACCCUCAUACAUCUUCCCAAUCAGUUGGGAAACAAGACUUAAUCAGUUGAGACGGUCUGAGCAAAUAGGGUUAUCUUGCAGCUCUCUCUAAGAGUGGCCAGAUUAAUACUUAAUUCUGUCGAACAAGAAGUGAAGCCUGGAGAAAGCAGCCCGCCUCGGAGAAGGGCUGUCGUCAGCGCCACAAAGGGAACGAUGAAAUGCGAGUGGUCAGGUUCACUUUUGUUUAAAAUCAAUUUCAUUUGCUCUAUCACAACCUGGUUGUGUUUGUAUUUUCAGUAAUGGCUGGGAAUAAUUAAUUCUCCUUCAUUUAACAGAUCCCUUGCUCUCUCAUCACUUGAAAGAAACACCCAAAUUAUGUUAAAAAAUGACUUUCACAACAAAUUAACUAGAGAUUUAAAACCAGUUGUCAGUGUCCCUUUAAGCCAAAUCCUCUUUCCACUUAUAGCACAGAUGCAUGAAAGAGGAGGAUGCUGUUCCUGCGCGAGCGUGGAGGAAGAUUGAGUUGUGCGUGGGAGGACAGAACAGGAGAACACUCCAGUUACUUGGGCCACUCCUCCAGCAAAUUUAAUAAGUAUUGUUAGAAAGUACUUUGCAGGGAAAAAUAAAGUUAAUCUCCUAUGCA